RNAcentral lists this long non-coding RNA (2120 nucleotides) under Rattus norvegicus (Norway rat). RNAcentral's name for it is "long non-coding RNA NONRATT030051". The record is from RNAcentral. Lineage: Eukaryota; Metazoa; Chordata; Mammalia; Rodentia; Muridae.
AUCAGAUGUCUCAUUUAAUUUACUAUAUAUUCAUUUAUAAAUGAAAGUACUAGUUUCUGUCUUUGUGGGUAAGGUAACGUACUGUACCAACAUUGAGAAGGGAGACCACUCCAUUUCUGAACUUGGAUUGCAUUAUAAAGUAUGGGUUUUUUUAAUUUAACAAAAAGACUUAGUAUUCUAAUUAUAUAGUUUUUUAAUUUAAAAAGACUAAUAUGUCAUGCUAGUGAUCAGAAAUUCUACAGAAAUCCUAGAGCAACUUUUCUGCACUGGUUAUAUUAAGCAUUGAGACAGGAGGCUUUCCCCAAGCUGGAUGACUCCUGUCACUGCUUCACCACUGAGUUGGUGAGAUGCUGUAAUACUUUUAAUUUUCCCAAAGUGGUCUCCAAAAUAAGUGAUUGAAAACUAGCUAUUGGUGGCACUUUAACCUCUUAAAAAUAUUUACCAGAUUAUAUAAACAUGGGAUACAGUGUAAAAAUAGCAUCAUGAGUCAUCAGAUUGGUACAGUUUUCCAUGCAAAGGAGAUGAGCCAAAUUCUAGUAUUGUUUCUAUUGUGUGAACCUAGUGGGCGGUUCACACGUGUGGAACUACUGCGGAGGCACAACCCCGCCUCUUGUCCUUGAGGUAGCUGCAUUCCAUCUGACCCUGACAGCAUCUCUUUUCCUCCAACAUUUUUGUAAUGUUAGCCAUUUGUCCUAUGAGAAAUAUGGUCAAGACCAAACAAUUCAGGAUACAGUUUCACAGAAAUGUAGGGUUGUGUGGAAUAACUGGCCGAAGGCCACAGAAGUAAACUUUCUAUGUUUUGCUUCUGAAUUUCAAAAGGAUGGGUUUCUUAAUGUUUACAAAUUAAGGCACAUUUGUAUGUCUGAUAUUAAUUAGACUACUACAUUUUAAUAUGGUUUUACCAAAAGAAAGUAGAAUUAGGUGUAUUUUAAGAUAUAAGCCAGUCUUUUUUAAAACUUGAGCAUCUGGAGGUAGGUGUUUUUAUUGACAAAGAAAAAUGAACUUAAUUGGAUAAUCUCUCCCCAUCUGCUACUUUGCUAUAUGGCUUGCUGUAUUGGAGUGUAAACAGUUCAGUGUUAAUCAUAUCAGAAGACAUUUUUACAUCCUCAUCAAUUUAUAAAAUUUACCAAAGAAAAUGUUUCUGAUAAAUCCUUUUUAAAGCAUUAAGGAAUGUACCCCUCUUUGAUGUAGUGAUUGCUUUCUAACCCUGAGGGAAACAAAUAUUAAUAUAUUAUUUGAACUAAAAAACACAUAGGGUAAAUAGACAAUGUCCUGUUUUUCCCUACAUCAGUAAGAUGUCAGUACUCCACUGAAAGUACCAUUUAAAGAAUAAGUCUUAAUUUUAUUCCUUAGGACAUUUUUAUUAAAAUUAAGGAUUUUGCGUAUCAGUAUUGAAUAUAAAGGGGGAAACUCCUGAAGAUGGUAUAUUGUAUAUUAUGGGUUGUCUAGGGAAAAUUAUUGAAAGGUACCCCUCAAUGGACAGUGGCAUUUAUUUCUAGUAUAAUCGUAGCUAAAUUGACAUGGUUAGGUUAGUUUGCAUUUAUGUCUGUGUUCACUCUUGACUACUUUUUGUCUUUGCAUAUGAUUGGGUUAAAGGAAGCCAAAAUAACUGCUUUAAAAUAUGUCGGCCAAAAAGAUCUAAAGGGUUUAAGCUGUUUAAUGAUCUCUUAAAUAACGAAUUAUAGUUGUUUUUUAACUAUUUCGAACAAGUUCUUUAAUUUUUUAAUACCACAUUAUAGUUAAUAAGUACUUAACUGGUGUGUGGUGGUACAUGCCUGUAAUCCCAGCACUUGGAGGCAGAGGUAGACUGAUCUCUGAGUUCAAGGCCAGGCUGGUCUAUAGAGUGAGUUCCAGGACAGCCAAGGCUACACAGUUAGACCCUGUCUCAAAACAACAGACAGACAGACAGACAGACAAACAAAAAUGUAUUGUUCUUGGGAAAAGAAGAUUGGCCUUCAAAUAAUGACUGAUAAUGGUUUUUAUUUUUAAUUUUAUUAUCUGAAUACAGUAUAAAGAUAUGUUCUGUGUGAUGUUAAAAAUAUUAGUAUGAGGUUUAUCGUGUAUUUUACACUGGAUCUUUUUGGUUCUUCUAAAAACUAGGCUGGCUUUACAUUCAGUUU